GGGAGUCUUAAGCCUACAUUAAGUAGGCUUAAGUUGCUUUGCUGUGAGAGAAAAUAAUUUUCUUUUUCUUCUGUGGAUGAGUUCGUGGUUUGGAACAGGGGCAUUCCUACACCUUAAUGUUUCCGUUUAUCUCAGCGUGUUGUCCCCUUGGCUUUAGGCCUACUUACGUCUCUGUUCUACCCCUCUCACCUUUCUCUCCCCAAAUUUAGAACUGACAAUCCCUUGAGUUAUGUGGAGGGAAGAAAACAACGGUUCAGGUCUCUCAGGGAGAUUCAGAAAGAGAACAGAAACUCAGAGACAUGAAGCACUCUGUCCCUCUUGGCUUGUAUGCACACUCAGAACUAAGUCACAGAGAUGUCGUUCCCAUGGUGACCCAACGGCACGGCCACAGAGACUUUGCUGGGUGUCAACUCAGCUGUUUUUUCCUAAUCUCCUAUAACACAGCAGUCAUAUAGAGAAAUGCAAUUGGGCUUGACUUUAACAUGGCUUUUUAUUUUUCCUGACGCAGGUCUGGCUGGCAGGACCGGGGGUGGAGUUUUGAGCAGCGAGGCUGGAAUGGUGGACAAGGGCCAGUUGACCAGGGUCACUGAAAGCCUUGCUAAAAGGUAGCCUUCAUCCGGGUAGCCUCCCUUUCUCAAAUUCUGCUGUCAGACCACCUACAUGAGAAUCCCUUGUGGGUACUCGUUAAAAAUGUAAAUUCCUGGGCUCCACCCAGACCUUUUAAACCAGAGUCCAGGGAGUGGCACAGAAGUUUGCAUUUUUUGCAAGCACCCCAGGGGAUUCUUGUGCAAACUGAAGUUUGAGAGCUAUUGCUGUAGGUCACUUGGAGCCUGGCAGGCAGGAAGCAGACGUGGGGUUCAGCAAGAGUACUUUGAUACCGUAGGAAGUGACUGCAGCUAGGUGGUUGGUUCAUAAUCCGGACUUCUAUGAAACACCUGCAUCCUAUGCUUCCUUGUGCUGUGCACUGUUUGAGAUGAUUUAGAAACAGCAACUCAUUUAAUUCUCCUAACAACCCCAGGAUCGAGUUCUGUAAUUGUCUCCACGUUCUGGAGGAGGAAACUGAGGCACAGACACUGGCCCGAGAUCAGACAGUGGUGUGAGCACCCGUCCUCAACUACUAGGCUCUGCUGAGAUGGAAGGGCGUGGCCACCUAUUGGACAAGUGCCUCGAGGAAGGAGAAAUCAAGGACAACCAAGAGGAUGAUGGGAACGUUACCCUGAACCUGAAUGUGCAGAUGUGCUGGUUUCUACGUUCUUCUGCUGCUAACUCCUCCCUUAUUAGUUGUGAGGUCUUUAAAGGCGGGUAUCCUGAAAUCACCCACGGCUUCCAAAAGGGUUUCAUCUACUCUGGAUGGGAGCAGUCUUAGGGAUGGAGAGAGGACCGUUCAGACCAGGUGAAUCUUGGAGCUGGUGAACGUCAGUGGAAGCUUCAUCUUCACAGACAUCUGCCUUCUAGAAAACAGAGUUGUGGUCCAUCGCUUUACCAAUGAGUCAAGAAACUGUUUUCUUAACCAGAAUUCCAAGUGAAGGAGCCAUCUGUCAACAUGUAUCAUUUUCAUCAAGGUAGUGUCAGAACUAUGAACACUAGACUCGGACCGUUACCGAAAAUGCCACCUUAGCGGUUCUAAUGAUGACGUUGGAGUGCGUGUAUGUAUGCGUAUUGGUUACUUAAUACACUAAUUAUGGGGGGGGGCUUUUGCAGCUAAACUGGAAACCAAACCAUAAUUCACAAUAUUUCCACGCUCUAAAUAAUAAUUAAAAAAAAACUUUUGGAUCACAGCAGGGUUGUGAGUCAGGGACAGCCUAUUCUACUUGGAGAGAAAGGAGGGUCUGCGCGGCUUCCUAUGGGACUCCCUGGCAAUAUUCCAGACAGUCCCCAGGAGCAUCAUUUCUUCAAAAAAAGAAAAGCUGAAACAGCUAGAGAUCUGAGACCCAGCACACAGAGGGCACUCUAGAUGUUUGCAGGCUUUCGUCACCUUUCCGCAAAGGAAAUGGGUAUGUGCUAACUACACGCUGCCAGUUAUUCACAGCCUUCAUUUUCUUCCUCUUCUGCCUUCUCCAGGUUAUAUUAAGCUUAAUUAUAGGUUCACUAGGUGUUGUAGAUUUCCUAAAGUCUGCAAGAAAAAUAGACUUUCCGACUGACCCAGACAAUGCUGAGUGCAUUAAGGAAUGCACUGAGGAAGGAAGGAAGGAAGGAAGGAAGGAAGGAAGGGAAGGAGGGAGGGCGGGCAAGCCAAUCGUCGGCAGACAAGACGACAUACACACUGUAAAAUGUUUCUUUGGAAAUUCGUCACUCAGGAGUAAUGGCAGUAGAACGCACAGGAGAAUCCAGCACAGGAAGGUGCAUUGUUCUGUGCGGUGGGUCUGUGGCUGGGGCUUCCGGGGUCUGUGGACCCCUGACAUGAGCUGGAAAGACAAGUGGAUUCCCUUCUGGCCUGAGGGACUCUGGACCUCUGUGACUUCCAAGAGGGGUAAAGUUCAAUGCUAACCUCACCAGCGAGAGGUAGUAUUCCAGGAGGAAUCUCAAACCCUCAUUCUUUGUGAAGUCCAUGUGACCAUCAAAUCAGGAGGCUGUUUUCUCUGUGGGCAGUUCUGAGAAUCAAGGAUCCUGUUCAUUCUGGAUUUGAAAAGACAGACCUAGGAAGGAGGUGGGCACUCACUCACCAUCUCUGAAAAAAGGUAUAGUAAGUAGAUUAACAGAGUAAACCAGAUUAGAAAGCCAGAACUUUUAACUGGCUCAGAAAUUAAACUUUUAUUUGGCAUUCUAGCAACUGAGUCAUUUGAAUGUUAAUAUGAAAUGCACAGGUUUUCUAUAUAUGAAAAUGGAUAAUGUGGGUCUUUUUUAAAAAUUUUGUUGGGCAGCAUUUGAUGAAUACCUCCAGCAUGCUAGUGUGGAUUAUUCUAGACCAUAGUUUUCCAAAGAUAUUUGGGGCAAAUCUCUCUUCUACUGCCUUCAAGUUUUUCAACUUAAAUGAGUAUUUUUGACUUCUUGGACAGCCAUAUGAAUUUUUGUGACUAUGCAUGGGAUAGAUUCCUACGUUUUACUAGCCCAGGUAAGCCAUACCUUACUAAAAGACAUACCUUGCCUCCUGACCACUCCUUGCCUUGUAACUCCACAAGGAUGGGGAUAUGAGAGGCCAAUUCUAUUUUGGCUUCCAGUUGUCUUCGAAUGUGUGUGUGUGUGUGCGUGUGUGUGUGUGUGUGUGUGUGUGUGUGUGUGUUUAUUUUGGGUGGUGGGAGAGUUACUUUCUAAUAGAAAGUCCUUGCUUUAUCAUUACUUUGUUCAUUUCCCCUCGAUGACCAGGAAGCUCAGGGCUGAAUUUAGUGUCCAGACAAGCCCACCCGGUUAUGUAGCAACCCUCUUCAGCAACCGUCCUCAGCUUUCCUGGCUGACAGAUUUCUAUGGGAAUUCGAUGGAAGCAUUUAUAUAUGACCACAACACACAAGCACAGAAUAGAAUACAUUCUGAUCACUCCUUGUGGAAAUCUUCAACCGCCGUAUUUUAUGUUGUAGUUGUGUUGCCUUUUGGCGUCCCAAAUGCUGAUGUAUACAAGGACUCCAAGACAUGGGGGAGAUGCUGACGAGCGUCGGAAGGGUUUCGCAAAGGGGAGGAGAUGGUCAGCACUUGCUGAGGGAGAGUAUCUCUCCAGGAAUGGAUCACCACUGAGUCCUGUAGUCUAGGGGAAAAGGGCUAGUCCGAACUGGAGUCUGGGUUUUACCCGAGCCGGUUCUGUCUUGAGCAUAUCCGAUCACUUCAGUGAGCCUCCGGCUCCUUAGCUGGAAACUGAGCAUGCUCCAUAGGACAGUGGGAGAUUAAGGGGGAGACCCUAGAUCGGAAGAGUUGGCUACACUGUGGAGUGUGGUGCAGAUGAGGAGUAAGACUGCUUCCUCAAGAUCCACCACCAGCAGCACUCAGAUUCAACCAUGACCAAGGGACGGACAUGCAGAGGCCAUUGACCAGCUUGGACAGCAAAUGCCACUUGCUGGUGAUCCAACAAUCCUGCGCCCCCAUUUGUUUCUUGCUGCUUUAGGAAAAGGAUCAACGUUUAGGCAGCUUCUAACAUAGCUUGAAGUGAGUAUGUAGAAACUGCCAGGCCAGUAAGGCCAUGAACCAUGUCUCUGGGAUGCCCAGGAGGAAUGCCUGUACCUACCUCAGGCUCUCCUGUCCCCCACCCUCCACACCUGCACCCAGUUAGCCCCUCGUUUAAGCUCCAGUGCAAGGACCAGGCCUUCCAUGGACCUUCCCUGAUAGUGCGUUCUUCUGUCCUCUAGGCCACAGGAUUCUUGUCCAUCUGAUUACAGUAGCAUUUACGGCUGGUUCUGUUCAUCUGUUACUGAAGUGAACGUAACUAGUUUAUUGAGUACUUACUACAGGCCUACCUUGUUUCAUUGGGGUUCAGCUUUAUGGCACUUCCCAGAUAUCGCAUUUUUUUUACGAAUUGAAAGUUUG
Molecule: long non-coding RNA, 4449 nt
Organism: Neofelis nebulosa (Clouded leopard)
Lineage: Eukaryota; Metazoa; Chordata; Mammalia; Carnivora; Felidae
Exons: 7
Source: RefSeq, a predicted model, not a curated record